GAUCCUGGCUCAGGAUGAACGCUAGCUACAGGCUUAACACAUGCAAGUCGAGGGGCAGCAUGGUCUUAGCUUGCUAAGGCCGAUGGCGACCGGCGCACGGGUGAGUAACGCGUAUCCAACCUGCCCACCACUUGGGGAUAACCUUGCGAAAGUAAGACUAAUACCCAAUGAUAUCUCUAGAAGACAUCUGAAAGAGAUUAAAGAUUUAUCGGUGAUGGAUGGGGAUGCGU
RNAcentral lists this ribosomal RNA (230 nucleotides) under uncultured bacterium. RNAcentral's name for it is "partial 16S ribosomal RNA". It matches the Rfam family "Bacterial small subunit ribosomal RNA", at positions 15 to 236 of the family's 1533-position model. The record is from RNAcentral.